GAUGAACGCUGGCGGCGUGCCUAAUACAUGCAAGUCGAGCGAACAGACGAGGAGCUUGCUCCUCUGACGUUAGCGGCGGACGGGUGAGUAACACGUGGAUAACCUACCUAUAAGACUGGGAUAACUUCGGGAAACCGGAGCUAAUACCGGAUAACAUGUUGAACCGCAUGGUUCAACAGUGAAAGACGGUCUUGCUGUCACUUAUAGAUGGAUCCGCGCCGCAUUAGCUAGUUGGUAAGGUAACGGCUUACCAAGGCAACGAUGCGUAGCCGACCUGAGAGGGUGAUCGGCCACACUGGAACUGAGACACGGUCCAGACUCCUACGGGAGGCAGCAGUAGGGAAUCUUCCGCAAUGGGCGAAAGCCUGACGGAGCAACGCCGCGUGAGUGAAGAAGGUCUUCGGAUCGUAAAACUCUGUUAUUAGGGAAGAACAAAUGUGUAAGUAACUAUGCACGUUUUGACGGUACCUAAUCAGAAAGCCACGGCUAACUACGUG
RNAcentral lists this ribosomal RNA (497 nucleotides) under uncultured bacterium. Its description in RNAcentral is "partial 16S ribosomal RNA". It matches the Rfam family "Bacterial small subunit ribosomal RNA", at positions 28 to 507 of the family's 1533-position model. The record is from RNAcentral.